This 220-nucleotide long non-coding RNA is filed under the name Mytilus galloprovincialis (Mediterranean mussel). The record is from RNAcentral. Lineage: Eukaryota; Metazoa; Mollusca; Bivalvia; Mytilida; Mytilidae.
CUCUGGUGUGUUGGUUUUAAAAGUGGUCCAUAGGUCAUCGAUAGUCAUAUUUGCCUUGUUUGCUUUUAAAUAAUCAUAUGUAAGGAUGUUCCCCCAGUUUGCUUUUUUUUGGAUAUUAGUGCUUUAUGUGGUUGUUGUUUUGGUGUUGGUAUAGCAAAGUUGAUUUCACAAAAGACAAUAUCAUGGUCUCUUCCUCCUAUUGGUGGGAGGGUCUCAACUC